AAUGGCAAUUACAAUGGAAAGCAAGGCUGUAAGGCGGAGCGAAUCCGGAAAGAUUGCCUCAGUUCGGAUUGUUCUCUGCAACUCGGGAACAUGAAG
This 96-nucleotide non-coding RNA is filed under the name Solanum tuberosum (potato). RNAcentral's name for it is "rRNA SSU_rRNA_eukarya". It matches the Rfam family "Bacterial small subunit ribosomal RNA", at positions 1229 to 1325 of the family's 1533-position model. The record is from Rfam by way of RNAcentral. Lineage: Eukaryota; Viridiplantae; Streptophyta; Magnoliopsida; Solanales; Solanaceae.